This is an RNA transcript of Frankliniella occidentalis (western flower thrips), 1181 nucleotides long. It is a transcript of the gene named elastin-like, with no coding region annotated. Lineage: Eukaryota; Metazoa; Arthropoda; Insecta; Thysanoptera; Thripidae. The record is from RefSeq and is a predicted model, not a curated record. The transcript is spliced from 4 exons.
CCUGCACUGCGGCCGUCACUGUGGUGGUUGGGGUUGCCGCGCUGGUUCACACCAGGACGCCAUCCGGAGCACAGCGGGAGGCUGUCGGGCCCUCCUAGAGGCAUUGCGCUUAUUUGCCGGUGGUUUCUGCUGCUGUGGGUCGUGAGCGCCGAGCCUAUAUGUACCAGUGAGUGAAAUAGGCAAGGCGGGACCUCGAGACGUUCGAGACGCAGCUGGUGAUGGACAGAAGAUGGCUCGCGUCCUUCAUCGUGCUGGCCGUGAGCGUGCAGGUGAGGCGUGGUCAUCGUGCUGAUAACGCUGCCCUCACCGGCCCGCCGGUCUUGCUGUUACCCGCCCAGAGAUCGGCAGCAGCGGCGCAGGUGGCCGGCAGGCACAAGCCAUCGCCCAAGGCCGUCAAGCUGUUUGAGGGCAAUAUCAACACGAGGACGUUCGAGGACUCUGGGGGCGGCGGAAAUCGGCGACGAGGUGCUGCCGAGGCACGAGCAACGCCCUCCGCAGGGGGGCCGGAGGGGGCGGGCAGCACCGCAGGCUCAGCUUCGCCGCAGUCGCUGCACUCGAAUGGCAUCGCGGAGCGGCGCGGCAUCAUGGACGGGCUGAGCCAGACCUACUCCGCCAUCAAGGAGACGGUGGUGCACGGCGUGGAGGUGCUGGGCACGGCGCUGGUCAACAAGGCCGGCCGCGUCGGCAAGGGCAUCAAGGUGGCCCUGGACGUGGACAGCGCGGGCAACGUUAGGCACGCUGCAGGGGCCGGUACCGCCCCCGGUGCUAGUCCUGGUGGAAUUUCCGGUACCGCCCCCAGUGCCACCCCUGGUGCUACCCCAGUAAACGCCCCUGGCGCCGGCCCUGGUGCUGCACCCGGUGCCGGCCCUGAGGGGAACCCACCUAUGACGGCACCUCAGGACCAGAACCUCGACGGCGAGCAAAAUGUAUGAGGAGGCGCGGGGACAGGGAGUUUACCGGGUGAACAUGACUCCCAUCCGCUAGCGCUGGCCGCCGGUCGCUGCCGCUACCCUGACUAAGACGUCAACUCAAAUAUAAACCAUAUGAACGCUGAACGGGCAUGGCGGUACCAGCAAAUGAGCGCGGCGGAUAAUGUUGCCGCGUCGUCAAAGCAAGGUGGCCGCUCUCUGCGGUAACUCAAGUGCGGCUUUCUAUUAAAAGCUUUUUAAAGGGUGGCACGA